Non-coding RNA from Coturnix japonica (Japanese quail), 1541 nucleotides. The record is from RefSeq and is a predicted model, not a curated record. NCBI's taxonomy places the organism in Eukaryota, Metazoa, Chordata, Aves, Galliformes, Phasianidae.
ACUGCGUUCAUCUAGGUCUGAUAGUGUAAAAUCAGAGCAUCAGUAUUUAUGGUAUGUCUGCACCUUUAUUCCUAUGCUUGACUAUUAGCAAUAUUACAUGUAUAUUAUAUAUCUAAAGUUAUACCAAGCACCUUUAAAAAAAUCAGAGCGCGUGCUCCGUGCAGUCCCCACAUCCCUACAUCUCCAUAUCCAUGCAUCCCUAUAUCCUGACAUCCCUACAUCACCGCAUCCCUAUAUCACCGUAUCUCCACAUCCCUGUAUCCUCAUAUCCCCACAUAUCUCCUUAUCCCCACACCCCCAUUUCCCAGCUCCCAGCAGCUGUAGGACCCUCCUCCUCCCAGCUGUGUCCCGGCAGCAGCGGGUGCCGUCCCCAUCCCACUAUGGGGUGCACAUGGACCGGUGGCCUCAUGGAGCCACCGGAGCAGGGAUCGAUGCCUUUCCUGAUCGUUUUCCUGCUAAGCUUAUGUUGGGAUUGCUUAUAUUUACAGAAAUAACUUGCUGUGAGCGGAGAAGGGUGUAUGGCCCAUUAACCAACCCAAAACCCAGAGCCUCUGGCCGGCUAUAAAUCCUAAAGGCGGCACAGAGAACUCACGUCUCUUCUGGGGCUCCAACUGCUGUUUAGAAGUGUUCCUGCUGUAUAGAUGUGUCACGUUGUCAGCCUAGGGCUCGGGGCCACCCCAAAGCCAGGGCUGUCAGGAGCUCCGUGCACCGAUAGGGCUGUGCCAUGAGUUUCUUCCACUGUUAUAGAAGCGUUUUGCACACCAAGGUUGGUUUUUAUGUCGAAAUUAAGAAAAAAGAAAAAAAAAAGAAAUAAUAAUAAUAAUAAUAAAAAUAAUAAUAAUAAAUAUAUAUAUAUAUUAAAAAGAAAAGAAAACAAAGCCAAAACUCGCAAUACUGUUUUUAGCAGACGGAAUAAAUCCACGAACAAAUAACGAGAUGAAAGGAACGAAUGAGUGGGUGGAAAACGACGCCGUAGGGAAAGGCUCCAAACUGUCCUUUGGGGCAGGGGGCGUUGGGUUGGGUCAGAGUGCUGACCCAACUUGGGCUGCUUCAGGGGAAGGCAAAAUGAAGGGUUGAGUGGUGCCGUUGUUUUGGAGGCGGCUCCGGCGCUGUGCGCAGUACUGUGACUCCACGACUGUUAUCCCUGUGUGUGCUGUAGGACAGCCCCGCAGUACCGCUGAGCUCCGGCUCUCAGCCACGGACGAUGCUCGCUUCGUCUUGGUUCUUUUUGAUUUUGACUUUGAUCGCGCAUUAUUCACCGGUAUUUAUGUGCUCUUUACUCUGUGUAGUUCUGACUGUUAUUUUGUAGCCACGGCUGAUGCCAUAUAGAGGUAACUAAAACCAGAAAUAAAAGGUUAAGGACAAACCCCAUCCCCCCCUCCCUUUACCCCUCACCCUCUAUCGGAUCUGUGCUCACAGCUGUUUUCAGACGACGGAAAAUCCAUUUAAGAGGAACGAAUUUCGCGGCCGGUGCGACCAUGAAUUGUACAACGCUUUGUAAAGUUCACAUUUACAGAAUAAUAAAGGAAAUGAUGAUUACA